GAUGUGGACUCCACUGGACCAAAGCCAAGAACUGCUGGAGCUGACACAGAGCGGGAGCUGGAAAGGUGGCAAGGCUGUAGGGCAGCCACUCACCCCCAUGGCCCGGCUGUCCAGCUGAGCCUUCCUUUUCCUUAGGGAGCCCCUGUACCACUUUCUUCCCCAGCUCUCCUGGAAUCCAGAGAGCUGUGGCCAAACAGGUGACUCCGGGGACAUUCUUCUCCAUGGUCCACACGGCCAUCUCUCUUCAUUCUCCACGCCUCCAGAACCCUUCGUGGAAGCGUGGAAGCGCAUUGCCCAGAGGCAGCAACCGGUCCCCAUGGGGCAGGUGAAUGGAGGCAGUGCUGGUUACAACGUUGCUGAGAUGUCUGCCUUCCUCCCACUUCUCCUUAGAGGAGCAAGGCCUUGAAUGCCAGUCUCAGCGGCAAUACAAUCACAGAAGAUUCAUCCCAACCCAGCUGAGAACUGCAUGGAGGCAAGGAACUGGAGCUGAGGGCAGCAGGUGGCAUGUGCUGUUGGUCGGUGGGGAUCCAGAGCCACAUGCCGGACAAGGGUGGAAGCCAGGCCUCCUGCACCCUUUCCUGGGCGGUGGCGUUGGUCAGCAGAGCCUUUGGAAGCUGGAAGUGCUUGGAGUGCUGCUCGCAGAGAAGUCGGAGCUGGCCGCUUGCACGCGGGCCACGGUGGGAGGCCUGACACCCUGGCAGCCACUCUGGCCACCCAGAUCCUGCCUCCGUCCUGGGAGCCACCGUUCCCCUGGUUACUCCUAUGGGCUUCUGUGGGGCUCUUGGACCCAGGCAUGGAGCUUUGGUCUCUUGAUUGGCAAACUACACCCAGGAUCGCUGCUUGUCUAUGGUCUCCAGUGUUAG
RNAcentral lists this long non-coding RNA (863 nucleotides) under Oryctolagus cuniculus (rabbit). RNAcentral describes it as "lncRNA (ENSOCUG00000031481.1)". The record is from RNAcentral. Lineage: Eukaryota; Metazoa; Chordata; Mammalia; Lagomorpha; Leporidae.